GCAUCCCUGAUCAUUGUUAUGUCGCUGUCAUGUCAGCAUCCAUCAUUCAGUCUUCAGUUUUAUUAAUUUAUUCCGCGGCUUUAGUCUCUAGUGUUAUUGUGUUGCUUGUCUCUGUUUAUCGGUUUUGAUCGUUUUGAUUGAGUGUUCACGAGUGAGCAAAUUACUUCUGCGUGGUACAAACCGUCGAAGCUAGCGGUCACUGUGGUUCCGUAGAAUUCAGGAAAGACAGCUACCUCAAUUUAAGAAUUUGGCUUUUAUCAUUUGCUAGAACAUAACGGAACUUCAAUGAAAUUUACACCAAAGGAAGAUAGUGCAUUUGACCGCGAUGAGUAGUUGCUGGAGGAGUGAUUACUGAUGAUGCGGGAGGAGAGGAUGGAAAUAUGUAGCUACAACAAAACGACAACACAGAAAAAGAAAGGUGUAAAAGAUUGUGUAUUAGGCCACUUUCUGCAUAGUUUUAAGUUAUAUAUAUUGUUUAUUCAAAAGCAAGCUUAAUCUGUAAUCUGUAAAUCUGUAUUAGGACAUAAAAAAAGAUUCAACAUUAUGUAUUCCUACUGAACGUAUGAAAAUAGAAUUAUUUUGAUUUAAUAAAAGGCACUUUUUCAUCACACAUCAAUAAAUUUUUAA
Molecule: long non-coding RNA, 627 nt
Organism: Wyeomyia smithii (pitcher-plant mosquito)
Lineage: Eukaryota; Metazoa; Arthropoda; Insecta; Diptera; Culicidae
Exons: 4
Source: RefSeq, a predicted model, not a curated record